UUAAAAAGGAAGAAAAAAAUUAUAUGUAAAAGAGAGUUAGUUGUCUUGGUCAUGGUAUCUCUUCACAGCAAAAUAACAGUGACUAAGAAAGUAACCUUUCACUAUAGUCCACCCAUUUUUAUAGUGUCCCUUUGAAGGGCAUUACCAGGCCUAGUCCACAGGAAGUAACACAGUUGCCCUCCACCUCCUAGAAGAUGAAGGACUGCACACAUUGUUUGUAAUUCUGUUACAUGGAAGAUUCAUCCUUCUACUUCUUGGCCAUUUUGCUGUCACCAGAGACUGUAGCUGUUUUCUGUCUGGGCUGUAGCAAUGCUGUUUCGUUUAUUCUACUGCUUAAGUCGCAGGCCUUUAUAGAAGACGUCUCCUCAGGCCCCACGUUUGCUUGGCAUGCUCCCAUCAGUCUAGGUCCGGAUGUAACUUUUUGGUUUGCUUUAGAAUUUUGUUGCUUUCUGAAACUGUGCUAUGCUCCUGACUCACCUUGUGUAUUUCUUGAGUUUUCCUAGAAUUACCUAUAUAUCUAAAAGGACUGGCUCCAUUGAUUGGAAAAAAAUUGUAGGCAUCCAUUAUUGGAAUGCUAGGUAUGCCCUUUCCUGCUGGGAUGUCAUUGCUUCUAAGACCUUCUUGGUGGCAGAACACAGAACUCUCCCACCUUCUCCUCUGUUGAGCCUGGUCCCUGGAGGUUUCCACCAUCGUCGGCGCAUUUUAAUGCUCUCCAGCCUCAGCUCUCCAGCCUCAGCUCUCCAGCCUCAGCCUGCUGGGACCACAGUCCUGACCCACCACGCCCAGCCCGACCCUCUCUUUGGUCACUCAGCUGUGUUCUGCACUUGUCUGCGUCCUCACGUGACCUUUCUUGACCGAGUCUGUGCCUCUGCCUCUUCCUAUGAGGACACCAGUCCUUUCUGUCUGUGCUUUACCUCAGGACGUCCCUUCGACAAGCACGUCCCUAAAGGCCCCAUCACCAAACAAUCACCUUGGAAGUGAGGACUCCAACAAAUGAAUCUACUCAACAGGAAGCAAUGAAUCGAAAUUAUAGCAAGAAACGACUGUGUGCUGCAGAACGGAGACCCUGCUCAGAGCAGCCCCAGGAUAAGGCUUGAAGACCUGGACCUCUUCCUCAGGGAGGCUGAGCCUCUUUGUCCUGGGAUGUGCUUCCCUGGGAGGAGGCCUCAGUGGAGAAGCAAAGGCUGGCCACUUGUCCCCCUGUGUCUCAGACCCAGGAGAGGUGGUAGGAUGCUGCAGGGCUGUGCAUCCCACUCUGCGAGGACCAGACAAUAGGAGGGUCAACUCCAGCUCAGCCGGGUUCAGCCUGUGUGCAGCCAAAUGGAUUUCUCUGCGUCUCGCUGUCACUGCCUUCAGCCUGGGCCUGCUGAAGGACGAAAGCGAACAGAUGAAAUGCUUGCACUAUGGCAGUAGCUGUUCCAUGAGAUGUAGUCUUUACUGAGAGAAGACCCUUGACUUUAUUCAGAAAAGGAGACUGUGACUGAACCCCGAGGAGGCCAACUGUGCCCAGUGUCGUGCCUCAAGGUUCCCCAGUCUCUGUUGGUUAUUAGGCUUCAUUACCGUGACCAAACACCAGACAAGAAGCAGCUUGAGGAAGAACGCAUUUAUUUCCGCCCCUGGUUUGAGGGGCCAGAGUCCAUCAUGGUGAAGAAGCCAUGGUGCAGGAGCAGAUUGAUGGAUGGUGGCAGCAGGAGGUUGAGAUGACUGGCUGCAUUGCAUCAGCAGCCAGGAAGAAGAGAGAGGCCAGAAAGUGGGUGUGGCUAGAUACUGAACCCCUCCACACUUUCCCCAGCUUGGCCCCACCUCCAAAUGGUCCCACAACCUUUCCAAAACAGCAUCACCAAUUGAGAGACAAGGAUUUCACACCCAGAACACAAUAAUUUUUUACAACUCAGGGAGGCUUCGUUUUUCUCAUGUAUUUUGUUUUCUCUUUGUGUGGGAAUUCUUGGGGCUUUUGCUCCAGCUUGUGACUUGUUGGGUUAGAGAGCAGCCACGCCAACUAGGGGUGAAGUCCACUCCUACAGAAUAUGCUAGCAAUGCUAAGAAGCAUGGAGCCUGACCUAAGAUGCAGUGGGCAUAGAUGGACACUGUACUUGACCUGGUGGCUCCUAAAGCUAAGUUCAAAUCCCACCUCUUGGCCACGUGCUGAGGAGCCAAGACCUGUUUUGAUAAAAUCCCUCCCACAUCAGAAGCAAAAGCAUCAUUCUAUUUCCCAUGCUGGCGAAGGCCCGCCAAGAGUACAAUCCUGAGUGGUGAGCCCUUCUACUGACUGCAGGAGAGGUCAAUGUUUGGAGUAGUGCUGUGUGUUAGGUACUUCAGUAUUUUGUAGUCUCUAGCCUGAGGCUCUCACUAAUACCUUGGUUCCCAUGCAGAUGAUCAGGAAUCUGGGCAUCGAUUCAUAUUCUCCACCAGGGCUGGACCAUGGUGAGGCCAGGAGAAUGCUAGGGUAGAGUGUAAAGGGGCAGUUGCACAAAUCUGAGCAUGAGUAUUUCCUUCAGCCUGUACCCAUGGAACCUCAUUUAUUUCCUCCUGGUAACCAAUGGUUCCCAAACUGGCCUUCCUGUGCAGGCCUUGCAGCCUCCUAAUGGCUUUCUAGACUGUGUUGAAGUGCCUCAAAGCCUACAGGCCGUUAUUGGACCUUCUGGACUGUUCCUGUUGCCUACAAGAGCCUCUUCCCUGCCCUCUUGGCUUGGAUAGCACGAUGCCAGACUUGAAACCCCCUAAGUGUGCUGGACUUUGGACAGUAGGAUGCUUCUGUGUGGGGUAGUAGGAAACUCACCUCUUUCCCUCCUAGCCAAACCAGGGAUUUCUUCUUCAUUACCUCCUAUUUUUUCUUUCUUUUUUAUUCUUCUCUCAUACAUUAAAUCUUGGCCACCAUUUCCCUCCCUCCACUCCUUGAAGGCCUCCCCAACUCCCCUUUCCUCCAGAACCACUGCUCUUCCAUUUCCCUUAAAAAAAAAAAGAGAGAGAGCAGGCCUCCCAGAGAUAUCAACUGAACAUAGCAUAACAAGUUACAGUAAGACUAGUCACAAACCCUCAUAUCGAGGCUGGACAAGGCAACCCAGUAGGAGGAAAAAGGUCCCAAGAGCUGGCAGAAGAGUCAGAGACACCCCUAAUCCCACUGUUAGGAGUCCCACAAGAACACCCAGCUACACAACCAUAAGGCAUAUGCAGGGGACCCAGCUCAGACUUAUACAGGGUCCAUGAUUGUCACUUUAGUCUCUGUGAGGCCCUAUGAACCCUGCUUAGUUGAUUCUGUGGGUUAUGUUCUUGUGGUGUCCUCCACCUCUCUGGCUCCUAUAACCCUUACUCCCCCUCUUCUGUGGGGGUCCCCGGCUCUGCCUAGUGUUAGGCUGUGAGUCUCUGCAUCUGCUCCAUUGGUUGCUAGAUGACACCUCUCUGGUGACAAGUGGGCCAGGCACCUAUUUAUAGCAGAACAUCACUAGGAAUCAUUUCACUGAAUUUUUUUCCUACUCCUAUCCUGGUCUCUGGACUGUCUAGCCUCUGGUUCCGGGCCAUCCAGGCAGUGUCAGGCAUGGGCUCCCUCUUGUGGUGUGGGCCUCCAGUUGGACCAGUCAUGGUUGGCCACUCACACAAGUUCUGUGCCACCAUUACCCCAGCACAUCCUGCAGGCAAGGUGGAUUGUAGGGCAAAGAUCUUGUGGUUGAGUAGAUGUCCCAGUCCCACUGCUGGAAGCGUUGCCUGGUUACAGAAGACGGCUGGGUCAGGCUCCAUAUCCCCCAUUGCUAGGAGUCCUCUCCAGGGUCACCCUCGUAGAUCCCAGGGAGUUCCCACUGUACUAGGUUUCCACACCGCCCUCCAAUUCCAGUCUUCUCUCCUAGACCACUCUCCCUCCACUCCUCCCCAACCUGACUAAUCCCUCCUGUUACCAUCCCCACCCACGCCCCAGUCCACCCACAAAAUCUAUCCUAUUUUCCCUUCCCAGGGAGACCAUGUGUCCCCUCUUGAGCCAUCCUUGUAACUUAGCCUCUCAGGGCCUGUGGAUUGAAGCCUGGCUAUCCUUUGCUAAACAGCUCAUGUCCACUUGUGAGGACAUACCACGUUUGUCUUUCUGGGUCUUACCUCACUCAGGAUUUUUUUUCUAGUUCCAUCCAUUUGCCUGCAAAUUUUAUGAUGCUGUUGUUUUUAACAGCUGAGUAAUACUCUUUAUCCAU
This is a non-coding RNA of Peromyscus maniculatus bairdii (prairie deer mouse), 4175 nucleotides long. NCBI's taxonomy places the organism in Eukaryota, Metazoa, Chordata, Mammalia, Rodentia, Cricetidae. The record is from RefSeq and is a predicted model, not a curated record.